AAGGAGAGAGAGGCUCUCCCUUUUCUCCUGCACCGCCAAGUGUCGGCAUGCAACUCCGGCGCCUCCUUCUUAUCUCCAGCGUCUGUCUCCCUCUCUCAUUCGAUCCGGAUCUCUCUCCUUCUCUUUGGUUCAGCCGCCGUCGUAGUUUUCCCUUUUCAUCAACUCUGUCCGUAUCUACCGACGCCACCACUGCCAUCCGCCGAACCCGCAUGGCGCCAUUGCUGUCCAUGCCUACUUGCUGAUGAAUUUGCAGCAACAUGGUUCUUUCAAGUCAAGCUUCCUCUUCUUUAGGACCCAAUGGCGGUCGACGUCGACGUUAUUGUCUUCCGGUGGCCAGAAGACAACCUUUGACUUGCAAGCGGAUUUCCUCCGCCGACCAAAGUUUGGAAACUGGGUGAUAUUUUUACUGUUUUUGCAAACUUUCAUAGGUAUUUGAUUUUUGUCGGUCUUUUUUAUUGGUUUUUGAAUAGUUAUGUAAAAUACAAGUGCUUUGUGGUGUAUAUAGAGAGAGACUGGUCAAAUUCAGGGCACAUAUAUAAAGCAAGUAAUCUAGUUAUAUAGCUUUGUUAUUUGUGUGACAAGAUUUAAUCAGAUUUAGUUGUUUCAA
Salvia hispanica is the source of this 607-nucleotide non-coding RNA. Lineage: Eukaryota; Viridiplantae; Streptophyta; Magnoliopsida; Lamiales; Lamiaceae. The record is from RefSeq and is a predicted model, not a curated record.